AACGCGAAGAACCUUACCAGCUCUUGACAUGUCUCGUAUGGGGACCGGAGACGGUUUCCUUCAGUUCGGCUGGCGAGAACACAGGUGCUGCAUGGCUGUCGUCAGCUCGUGUCGUGAGAUGUUGGGUUAAGUCCCGCAACGAGCGCAACCCUCGCCCUUAGUUGCCAUCAUUCAGUUGGGCACUCUAGGGGGACUGCCGGUGAUAAGCCGAGAGGAAGGUGGGGAUGACGUCAAGUCCUCAUGGCCCUUACGGGCUGGGCUACACACGUGCUACAAUGGCGGUGACAAUGGGAUGCUGAGGGGCGACCCCGAGCAAAUCUCAAAAAGCCGUCUCAGUUCGGAUUGCACUCUGCAACUCGAGUGCAUGAAGGUGGAAUCGCUAGUAAUCGUAGAUCAGAACGCUACGGUGAAUACGUUCCCGGGCCUUGUA
Molecule: ribosomal RNA, 430 nt
Filed under: uncultured Alphaproteobacteria bacterium
Lineage: Bacteria; Pseudomonadati; Pseudomonadota; Alphaproteobacteria
Description: bacterial SSU rRNA
Rfam family: Bacterial small subunit ribosomal RNA
Source: RNAcentral